This 434-nucleotide ribosomal RNA is filed under the name uncultured Saccharofermentans sp. RNAcentral describes it as "partial 16S ribosomal RNA". It matches the Rfam family "Bacterial small subunit ribosomal RNA", at positions 341 to 792 of the family's 1533-position model. The record is from RNAcentral. Lineage: Bacteria; Bacillati; Bacillota; Clostridia; Eubacteriales; Oscillospiraceae.
ACGGGAGGCAGCAGUGGGGAAUAUUGGGCAAUGGGCGAAAGCCUGACCCAGCAACGCCGCGUGAAGGAUGAAGGUCUUCGGAUUGUAAACUUCUUUGAUCAGGGACGACUUUUGACGGUACCUGAAGAACAAGUCACGGCUAACUACGUGCCAGCAGCCGCGGUAAUACGUAGGUGACAAGCGUUAUCCGGAUUUACUGGGUGUAAAGGGCGUGUAGGCGGUUUUGCAAGUCAGAUAUGAAAUUCCCGGGCUUAACUUGGGCGCUGCAUCUGAAACUGCAGAACUUGAGUACUGGAGGGGAUAGCGGAAUUCCUAGUGUAGCGGUAAAUGCGCAGAUAUUAGGAGGAACACCGGUGGCGAAGGCGGCUAUCUGGACAGUAACUGACGCUGAGGCGCGAAAGCGUUGGGAGCAAACAGGAUUAGAUACCCUGGUA